RNAcentral lists this small nucleolar RNA (107 nucleotides) under Sorghum bicolor (sorghum). RNAcentral describes it as "Plant small nucleolar RNA R71". It matches the Rfam family "Plant small nucleolar RNA R71". From Rfam's summary of the family: R71 is a member of the C/D box family of snoRNAs containing the C (UGAUGA) and D (CUGA) box motifs. Multiple nearly identical copies of this snoRNA have been identified in Arabidopsis, and it is thought to function as a 2'-O-ribose methylation guide for 18S ribosomal RNA. The record is from Rfam by way of RNAcentral. Lineage: Eukaryota; Viridiplantae; Streptophyta; Magnoliopsida; Poales; Poaceae.
AUCCCAUGAUGAGGACAAGCAUGAAUGUACUCAUUGAGACGUUCCCAUGCUUCAGGAAUUGUCUUGUCGGACUGUUGCUUGAAGCUCAAAAUCUUCCCACGCAGGGC